GAGACAGCAGUCGCCGCGGGAAUACGGAGGGUGCAAGCGUUAAUCGGAAUUACUGGGCGUAAAGCGCACGCAGGCGGUCUGACAAGUCAGAUGUGAAAUCCCCGGGCUUAACCUGGGAACUGCAUUUGAAACUGUCAGGCUGGAGUCUUGUAGAGGGGGGUGGAAUUCCAGGUGUAGCGGUGAAAUGCGUAGAGAUCUGGAGGAAUACCGGUGGCGAAGGCGGCCCCCUGGACAAAGACUGACGCUCAGGUGCGAAAGCGUGGGGAGCAAACAGGAUUAGAUACCCGGGUAGUCCCUGUCUCUUAUAA
This 308-nucleotide ribosomal RNA is filed under the name uncultured bacterium. RNAcentral describes it as "partial 16S ribosomal RNA". It matches the Rfam family "Bacterial small subunit ribosomal RNA", at positions 505 to 809 of the family's 1533-position model. The record is from RNAcentral.